This 78-nucleotide transfer RNA is filed under the name Lipingzhangella halophila. RNAcentral's name for it is "tRNA-OTHER". The record is from RNAcentral. Lineage: Bacteria; Bacillati; Actinomycetota; Actinomycetes; Streptosporangiales; Nocardiopsidaceae.
GCGAGGCCGCUGGUCGGUCGCGAUCAGCGGCCUCGCCUUCCCAAGCUGAUAACGCGGGUUCGAUUCCCGUCAUCCGCU